Molecule: ribosomal RNA, 134 nt
Filed under: Klebsiella aerogenes
Lineage: Bacteria; Pseudomonadati; Pseudomonadota; Gammaproteobacteria; Enterobacterales; Enterobacteriaceae
Also listed under: 32 other names
Description: partial 16S ribosomal RNA
Rfam family: Bacterial small subunit ribosomal RNA
Source: RNAcentral
GUGGGUUGCAAAAGAAGUAGGUAGCUUAACCUUCGGGAGGGCGCUUACCACUUUGUGAUUCAUGACUGGGGUGAAGUCGUAACAAGGUAACCGUAGGGGAACCUGCGGUUGGAUCACCUCCUUACCUUAAAGAA